CUAUAUGACAAUGACGACGAUGUCGUUGAAAAGGUCAAAAUUUCGUCCACAGAAGCCCUUAGUGCUGUAGAAACUGUUGUAAGAUUUAUGGAGGAACAAAAUGCAGAAAAUAUCGAAAUCAUUCAUCUGCGGCGAAUGACAGACUUCAUAAGAAA
This is a long non-coding RNA of Dermochelys coriacea (leatherback sea turtle), 155 nucleotides long. RefSeq lists it as uncharacterized. Lineage: Eukaryota; Metazoa; Chordata; Testudines; Dermochelyidae. The record is from RefSeq and is a predicted model, not a curated record. The transcript is spliced from 3 exons.